AAGCUUAUCGUUUUUUCUUUUUUAGUCAACAUUAACUUCAUUAGAUCAGAUUAAGUAGGGGUGGAUGAGAGUCUCUCUCUUUCUUCUCUCUCAAAUAUUUUUCAGAGAGAGAGAGACUAUUAUCUUUGAUCCCGUUAACAUGGCUUCUCCGUUGCCAUGUUCUUGCCGUCGACAUGGCUUUCCCGUUGCCAUGUUCUUGCCGUCUACAUGGCUUUUCCGUUGCCGUGUAUUUGCCGUCGACAUGGCUUUCCCGUUGCCGUGUUCUUUUGCCGUCACCUUUGUUAGGUGUUGUUUGUUUGCUUUCAAUAAAGGGGAUUUGUCUUUCGUCUCUGUUUCUUACAGAGUUUCAUGAGAUGACACACCUCUCUUCUAUGUUCAUACAAGUUUUUUAUGUUCGUUAGAUUUGAAGCGAAGCUUUACCAUCUUAUGAUAAAUCAGAUCAAUUUAGAACCAUUGGAUCUACGGUUGAUUUGUUUAUACAAAUAGCAUAUGUUGGUGGCUUUUCUCCGGAUCGUUUUGUUGGGUAUACGGUUUACAAAAAUUUCAGGGAUAAUUUGCGAAGAAAGUUGAAGAAAAGAAGAAUUUUCCUUCGCGAUUUUAAGAUGCCUUUCAGCCGUGAUUACAAUUGUUUGGAGUUUCGAUUCGUCUUUGGUGAAAAUCAGAAGAAUCAAUGGUCGAAUUAUAGUUAUCGGCGACGAUUUUCUUCACCGGAAUAGAAUCUCAGACGGCGGAGGUUGAUGUCGGAAAGCUUUUAGAAUUUUCAUCCAACACGUGUACGACUUGUUGACACGUUUAUUUGGUGAACGACCACUGAUAAACAUUUCUUCAUCUUUAAGUAAUAUAUCUGUAUGGGCCUUGUAGGGCUGUAAUCUGUUGUAGCUCAUUUGUUAUGAAUAAAAUUAUAAUUAAGAGAAAAAAAAAAAAAGAUAACAAGCUUAUCUGCUAGCAAGCAAAUUCCCUUUUUU
This 965-nucleotide long non-coding RNA is filed under the name Arabidopsis lyrata. Its description in RNAcentral is "long non-coding RNA (ALYR_LNC001265)". Lineage: Eukaryota; Viridiplantae; Streptophyta; Magnoliopsida; Brassicales; Brassicaceae. The record is from RNAcentral.